RNAcentral lists this unclassified non-coding RNA (398 nucleotides) under soil metagenome. RNAcentral's name for it is "partial contains 5.8S ribosomal RNA, internal transcribed spacer 2, and large subunit ribosomal RNA". The stretch from base 1 to 123 matches the Rfam family "5.8S ribosomal RNA", at positions 35 to 154 of the family's 154-position model. The record is from RNAcentral.
GAUGAAGAACGUAGCGAAAUGCGAUACUUGGUGUGAAUUGCAGAAUCCCGUGAACCAUCGAGUCUUUGAACGCAAGUUGCGCCCGAAGUCUUUCAGACCGAGGGCACGUCUGCCUGGGCGUCACACACAGCGUCGCCCCCCACCAACCCGUUGGCUGGGGGACGGAAACUGGCCCCCCGAGCCCCCACGGGCACGGUCGGCACAAAUGUUGGUCCUCGGCGGCGAGCGUCGCGGUCAGCGGUGGUUGUACUCUCACCCCCCAAAGACAAAAACGACGCGUACGCCUCGCCGCACGCAGGCGUAACGAACCCAGAGAAGCUCUCCCCGGAGACUUCAACCUGCGACCCCAGGUCAGGCGGGAUUACACGCUGAGUUUAAGCAUAUCAAUAAGCGGAGGA